This 197-nucleotide ribosomal RNA is filed under the name uncultured bacterium. Its description in RNAcentral is "partial 16S ribosomal RNA". It matches the Rfam family "Bacterial small subunit ribosomal RNA", at positions 328 to 539 of the family's 1533-position model. The record is from RNAcentral.
ACGCUCGACACCUACGGGGGCAGCAGUGGGGAAUAUUGCACAAUGGGGGAAACCCUGAUGCAGCGAUGCCGCGUGAAGGAAGAAGUAUCUCGGUAUGUAAACUUCUAUCAGCAGGGAAGAAAAUGACGGUACCUGACUAAGAAGCCCCGGCUAACUACGUGCCAACAGCCGCGGUAAUCUGAGCGGGCUGGCAAGGC